This 1621-nucleotide long non-coding RNA is filed under the name Marmota monax (woodchuck). Lineage: Eukaryota; Metazoa; Chordata; Mammalia; Rodentia; Sciuridae. The record is from RNAcentral.
GGGAUUUUCCCCACAGUGAUGGAAAGCUGGAAACCCAGAAGAUAGGGAAUCACCAGCUGGAAUUUGGGUUUGGGAUUGAUAAGAAGAGAGCAUUGCAGAGGGGGAGGGACACUGUGAACAAAUGCUCAGGAAAGGGAAUGUGCUCAGUCUGUGUAGGAAGAAAACCAGGGAAUAUGAGCAAACAGUGAUAGUCCAAGAGAGGCCACCUGGGGAAGGAAGGGUGACAGCCCUGGUCCUCUUCCUCCCAUGGUUCAGCUCCCACAGCUCUUUACUGCUUGCCCACACGGGCCAGAUGCCGGCCUGGCAUUUCCCCAUUCCUCCUCCACCCUGUCUCCCCCUUCUAAACACCAACCAGUGGGCAGCCCAAACACAUUUCUCAAAGUCUAAUUAGCAUCAACAAUAGUUCAAGCUAAUCGCCAUAAUUAAUGGAGAGACAAGGCAAUGACUGGGAGAAUUAUAAAUGGGGAUAAUCGAAUGUGAUUGAGUCUGGAGCAGCUUCUAUUCAGGAGAGCUGGAGGGGGAAGGAGACGACUCAUCCCCUCUUCCUUUUAUCCCUCAGAUCUGGGCUCUCCCACUCCCCUGGCCCCCCAUCAGGCAGCGUGAAUACAAAAAGUGACAGUCUCAUCAAAUCAGAUUCCAUCCACAAAGCAGGCAGUGACCUCUCCCAGUGAAUUACAGUUAUUAGACUUAAUUAUAUAAUAAGAGUUGCACAAUGGCCUGGACCCCCUCCUCUUCUCUGACAACACUGGCACCCCCGCGGUGACAAUGGAGCCACAGUUUUCUCUCUGUCCUUUUUUUUCUUCCCCAAAUUACACUCCUUUUCUCCUUCCUCUUUGUUCUUUAUUUUCUCCUUUCUUUUUCCCCUGCCUCCCCUUCCCUACACCUCUCUCCUUCUUUCCUUUAUUCCACCACCUCUUUUUCCUCUCCUUCUUUUAUUUCUUGUCCUCUCUUCCCAGGAGCCUCCCCAACUUUUGCAAUCAGUAUGCAAGAAAGCCCUAGAUAUCUGCCCUGGUUUUCUGCAUUGCUCCUCCACUCCUCCCCCACCCCCCCAAAAAAAAAGGUGUUCCGUCCUCUGCUUCCUUUUCGUGUUUGUGCACAGGGAAAGUAUGGUGGGAUGUCCUCCUCUGUGGGUUUUCUUGCCUUUCCACAGCACUUUGGCAGAUGCCUCUCGCUUCCUGUUGGAACACAACAGCUCCACUUCUUCAUGAGAUGGUUCCCCUCCCUCCCUCCAGUUCUUCCUUCCUUCCUUCUUUCUUAACCUUCCGUAUUUACUGAAUUCCCAAAGCAUACCAGACACAUGUACAUAUGAAAAUAGGAAACUAAAAGCAGAUCCACUCCACCCCUGAACUUCCUGUCUUUACUAAGUUGACUUCGUCUCCGUCCACAUGAUUCAGAGAAGUGGUUCUGAUGCCCCAUGGGCUUUAAACAUGGAGGUCUUAUUUUUCUUCUUCCAUAUUUACUGUACGGAAAUUGUCAACAAGCCGGGCUAUACUAUGUUUACUCCACGUAAAAUCCUGACCUCCUGGGGUCCCCACGGUCUCCAGCGUCACUUUCGUCAUCCAUGGCUACCCCACCACUCAUUUCAGACCUAUAUUCUGGAGACCCUUAUCUGGGCAUUGUC